AGCGAACGCUGGCGGCAGGCUUAACACAUGCAAGUCGAGCGCCCCGCAAGGGGAGCGGCAGACGGGAGAGUAACACGUGGGAACAUACCUUUUGGUUCGGAACAGCUGAGGGAAACUUCAGCUAAUACCGGAUAAGCCCUUACGGGGAAAGAUUUAUCGCCGAAAGAUUGGCCCGCGUCUGAUUAGCUAGUUGGUGAGGUAACGGCUCACCAAGGCGACGAUCAGUAGCUGGUCUGAGAGGAUGAUCAGCCUCACUGGGACUGAGACACGGCCCAGACUCCUACGGGAGGCAGCAGUGGGGAAUAUUGGACAAUGGGGGCAACCCUGAUCCAGCCAUGCCGCGUGAGUGAUGAAGGCCUUAGGGUUGUAAAGCUCUUUUGCCCGGGAAGAUAAUGACGGUACCGGGAGAAUAAGCCCCGGCUAACUUCGUG
This 431-nucleotide ribosomal RNA is filed under the name uncultured bacterium. RNAcentral's name for it is "partial 16S ribosomal RNA". It matches the Rfam family "Bacterial small subunit ribosomal RNA", at positions 29 to 507 of the family's 1533-position model. The record is from RNAcentral.